UAAUACGGGGGGUGCAAGCGUUAAUCGGAAUUAUUGGGCGUAAAGGGUGCGUAGGUGGUUUAAUAAGUUAGCUGUGAAAUACCUGGGCUCAACUUGGGGAGGUCAGCUAAUACUAUUAGACUAGAGUAUGGGAGAGGGCAGAGGAAUUUCCGGUGUAGCGGUGAAAUGCGUAGAGAUCGGAAGGAACACCGGUGGCGAAGGCGACUGCCUGGCCUAAUACUGACACUGAGGCACGAAAGCGUGGGGAGCAAACAGG
This 256-nucleotide ribosomal RNA is filed under the name uncultured bacterium. Its description in RNAcentral is "partial 16S ribosomal RNA". It matches the Rfam family "Bacterial small subunit ribosomal RNA", at positions 521 to 776 of the family's 1533-position model. The record is from RNAcentral.